GGCUGUGCCCAGAAGCUGUCCAGGCUGGCUUAGCCAAGACCCUCUCGCAGUCUCUUCUAUGAAGUUGCUCCGAUGAACUAUGCACUCUGAGAGAAGCUGAAGGGCAGAUGGCUGGUACUUUAGGCUGCCCCAAGGGAGAGCCUCUACACCUUAUCCUACCUCAGACCUCCACCGUGUGUCAUGUCCUGGCGGGAGUAGUGCAUCCGGGUCCCUCAUCACCUGCACCCUGAUCCACACUUCUGAGGUCUGUCACCAUUGGAAGUGCAGAGCCAGUCAACUGGGACCCCUAGUUGGUUCCACCAAACCUACCAGCCAACAGGCAAGAUGGAAAAAAACCCACAAUCUGUCUACUGACCAAACCUUGCAGACCACAGAAUCAUACCAUGAAUCUGAAGGAUCACCCUUCUCCUCCACAGCCCCAGAUCCCUUUCUUGUCCAUCCUGUCGGGAAUUAAGCUAGCCCCCCCCCCUUGCUCUGUUCCAUACUCCAUUGCUGACACUAUGGACUGUUUACAUAAUCAUGGUUUGGCCAGAAAAAUUCCCCACCCAUUCCUUUAAUCCAUCUUCUUUCUACCUCGAGACCUUCCCUGCCUGUAGGGUAACAUUAAUCUCACCAGUUAAAACCAUUGCAAUAGUUGCUAAGGAAGUUCUUAGCAUGCCUUUUUCCUUUCUCCACGCCCUUUUCCUAGUCAUUUCUGUUUCUGACUUGCCACUUCCAGUUUUAACCUAUAAAAUUCACUUAUGUUUCUGGAUUCACUCUCUUUUCCGUGUCCCAAUGUGGAGGAGGGUAGUCAUGCAGACAGGCAGGCAGAUGCUGGACAUUGAGGCUUGACGCCAUGUGGUUUUACCUGCUGUGCUCACACCCAACUCUGGGACUCCCACAUGAAUAAAGAAUUGUAUUAUGCUGCCACGAA
Erinaceus europaeus (western European hedgehog) is the source of this 913-nucleotide long non-coding RNA. RefSeq lists it as uncharacterized. NCBI's taxonomy places the organism in Eukaryota, Metazoa, Chordata, Mammalia, Eulipotyphla, Erinaceidae. The transcript is spliced from 2 exons. The record is from RefSeq and is a predicted model, not a curated record.